RNAcentral lists this ribosomal RNA (262 nucleotides) under uncultured soil bacterium. RNAcentral's name for it is "partial 16S ribosomal RNA". It matches the Rfam family "Bacterial small subunit ribosomal RNA", at positions 26 to 282 of the family's 1533-position model. The record is from RNAcentral.
AGAUUGAACGCUGGCGGCGUGCUUUACACAUGCAAGUCGAACGGUAACAGGCCGCAAGGUGCUGACGAGUGGCGAACGGGUGAGUAAUGCAUCGGAACGUGCCCAGUCGUGGGGGAUGACGCAGACGAAAGCUGUGCUAAUACCGCAUACGAUCUAUGGAUGAAAGGCGGGGGACCGAAAGGCCUCGCGCGAGUUGGAGCGGACCGAUCGUCAGAUUAGCGUUAGUUGGGUAGGGUAAACGGCCCACCGAAGGCGACGUAUC